UAUUUUACAACGGGGUGUCUAUCCUUAUUAUUACAAGGAGCGAAGACUGAGAAAAUACCCGCAACCUGAUCUGGAUAAUGCCAGCGUAGGGAUUGUAGCAAAAGGCUUU
Molecule: non-coding RNA, 109 nt
Filed under: Owenweeksia hongkongensis
Lineage: Bacteria; Pseudomonadati; Bacteroidota; Flavobacteriia; Flavobacteriales; Owenweeksiaceae
Also listed under: 1 other name
Description: TPP sequence
Rfam family: TPP riboswitch aptamer (THI element)
About the family: Vitamin B(1) in its active form thiamin pyrophosphate (TPP) is an essential coenzyme that is synthesised by coupling of pyrimidine and thiazole moieties in bacteria. The previously detected thiamin-regulatory element, thi box was extended, resulting in a new, highly conserved RNA secondary structure, the THI element, which is widely distributed in eubacteria and also occurs in some archaea.
Source: RNAcentral